AAUCGGAUUCGCAGAGGCCGGAAGUCGGCGCAGGCACUUCCGGGGCGCCGGGAGACCGCUGCGGCCGCGCCCGCAGACUACGAGAGCUCCGCGGAAAAAUGUUUUACCACAUCUCCCUGGAGCACGAGAUCCUGCUGCAUCCGCGCUACUUCGGUCCCAACCUGCUCAACACGGUGAAGCAGAAGCUGUUCACAGAGGUGGAGGGGACCUGCACGGGGAAGUAUGGUUUUGUCAUUGCUGUCACCACCAUUGACAACAUUGGUGCAGGUGUGAUCCAGCCAGGCCGCGGCUUUGUCCUUUACCCAGUUAAGUACAAGGCCAUUGUCUUCCGGCCCUUUAAAGGUGAGGUCGUGGAUGCUGUGGUCACUCAGGUCAACAAGCCAAGUCAAGUCCCAUGCCUCAGUUUCUUCAUCUUGCUGUGGUCACGUGAGUCAGCGUUAAGGUGGCAAUGUGCAGUGACUGGAAGGUUGGGCUCUUCACAGAAAUCGGGCCGAUGUCAUGCUUCAUCUCUCGACAUUCCAUCCCAUCGGAGAUGGAGUUUGACCCCAAUUCCAACCCACCCUGCUACAAGACAAUGGAUGAGGACAUUGUUAUUCAGCAGGAUGAUGAGAUCCGCCUGAAGAUCGUGGGGACCCGUGUGGACAAGAAUGACAUUUUUGCGAUUGGUUCCCUGAUGGACGAUUACCUGGGGCUUGUAAGCUAAGCUUGAGGCCUCCUGCAUGCUGGGUACCGGCGAGGAAAGUGUGUGGUCCUGUGCAUCCAGCUGCUCAGGGGCACAGGCUCCUUGUCCCCAGGAGGUGCCUGCUUGUCCAUCCUGCUCUGUUACGGACCUGGGAUGCCUGUCAGUGUUGUACCCAUAAAAGGCCCUUGGUUCUCA
Molecule: RNA transcript, 877 nt
Organism: Octodon degus (degu)
Lineage: Eukaryota; Metazoa; Chordata; Mammalia; Rodentia; Octodontidae
Gene: Polr2g
Gene name: RNA polymerase II subunit G
Exons: 9
Source: RefSeq, a predicted model, not a curated record